GACGAGGGAUCCUAGCGUUGUUCGGAAUCAUUGGGCGUAAAGAGUAUGUAGGCGGCCUUGUAAGUCAGUUGUGAAAGCCCCGGGCUCAACCCGGGAAGUGCAAUUGAUACUGCUUGGCUUGAAUGUGGAAGAGGGCAGUAGAAUUCCAGGUGUAGUGGUGAAAUACGUAGAUAUCUGGAGGAAUACCGGUGGCGAAGGCGGCUGCCUGGUCCUACAUUGACGCUGAGAUACGAAAGCGUGGGGAGCAAACAGGAUUAGAAACCCCCGUAGUCC
Molecule: ribosomal RNA, 273 nt
Filed under: uncultured bacterium
Lineage: Bacteria
Description: partial 16S ribosomal RNA
Rfam family: Bacterial small subunit ribosomal RNA
Source: RNAcentral